GAUGGCUAAAGCUGUGUUUAGUUUUGUGCAGUUUACAAGAUGGUGGGUAGUCUAUAGCUCUAAGAAGCAAACUCAAACUUGAAGCAAAAAGGUAUAGAAUCAAUUGGUUAGUUUUCAGUCUGAAAUGUAAGUAUAUUUUGCUUGUUAUUGUCGCUGUUUGGAACAUGGUGUACACUAUCUAGGUAUAUAAUAGUACUGGGACUGGCCAGAACAGCUCAGAAUUAGAUUCCACAUUCAGGAUCAUUAAUCAAGUCAUUUUACCUCAAUAGAAUUGUUUGAAAUCCUUUUAGAGCUAGAUUUUAUACUUGUCAUUAUAGUCAUAUUAUGUGCCAUUGACUUUCAGAGACCACAGCAUCCUUAUUUCUUGCUGGAACAACUUUAAACUUCUGGAAUAUAUUCUUCUAGCUACUAUAUUGUUGUAAGCAAUAAAGCAAAUGGACAAGAAGCUGGAGUUGUCUAGAACACUGUACGCAUCCGGUAAAGUCAAGGACAUCAGUUGCUUGCAGUUCUGUUAUAGUUUAUUUAAACUGGUUGAUGUUUUUUAUGGUGAUAAAUAUGUAUGUUCUGUGUAUUGUAUGCAAAUUUCAUAGUAAAACUAUUAAAUGAAAA
This 609-nucleotide long non-coding RNA is filed under the name Amphimedon queenslandica. Its description in RNAcentral is "uncharacterized LOC109581765". Lineage: Eukaryota; Metazoa; Porifera; Demospongiae; Haplosclerida; Niphatidae. The record is from RNAcentral.